CGACGUCUCCUGCCGACCGGCGAUCCCGGUCCCCACCUGGCAUGGAAACAGAUCGUCAGGCAAGUUCAAGAACCUGUGGGCCACUCUGCGCAUUCUGUUGCAUAUAUAGCACGGUAGAAUGUACUUUGAGGUUGGAUUUUCAUUGGGCGCCAAAUACAUUAACUGUUGCAAUACAUUCCUGUAUAACAUUUAUGUCACACACAUGUAUAACAAGAUACAAGAACUGAAAGGUUUGGUUUUGACCUUUAAUUAAGCCAGUAAUUCUAUUCAAGCCGAAGGUAAAAGAAUAACACGACUAUGGUAGCCGGUUUAUACACACUUGUAUGUUCGUAAAAGAUACUAAUAAUGUGCGUGGCUCUGUUAAUGCGCGCGCGAGCAUGUUCUCGUACACAUUCGUGGGACCGAUUUGUAAAGGGCAACGGCCUCGUGUGGCCCCACCGAGUUCAUUUCCCCGUUCCUCUGUCUCAGCCGCCGCUUAUUACCGUAACCUUGCCCUUGCUCUUACAUUUCCGCCACACUCGAACCUCGCGGAUUGUCUUCCUGGUUCGCCUUGAAUGGCGCCUUCUGACGGGACGCAUUGUAAAUCGAACUUCGGUUCCACCGAGACUCAGGGAUUUCAAUACCGUCCAGAUUUGGUAAACCGAUAAAAAGCUAAUCAUCGAUGCCUGCUCAUUGGGUAAACAGAGAUAAAUUCCAUGAUAUUCGAGAAGCUUCUGCAACUUGAACGUUUCAGAAGAUUUUUAAGAGAUGUUUUAUUAGGAGAAAGGUAUGGUACAGUGAUACAACGGGAUGAAACAUAGUAUUCCUUUCGGUAUGCUUGUCAUUUAUUUCUCUACUUAUACGUGGAUACAAAUGUAUGAAAUAUAUAAAUAGUAUAAAUGUAAAAAAAAAAAAGAUAGGACACGCUUUAGAGUUUAUAUCUAACAUAAGUUUGAUUACGAGA
Molecule: non-coding RNA, 943 nt
Organism: Osmia lignaria (orchard mason bee)
Lineage: Eukaryota; Metazoa; Arthropoda; Insecta; Hymenoptera; Megachilidae
Source: RefSeq, a predicted model, not a curated record